GGCGGAUGGGUGAGUAACGCGUGGGCAACCUGGCCUGUACAGGGGGAUAACACUUAGAAAUAGGUGCUAAUACCGCAUAACGGGGGAAGCCGCAUGGCUUUUCCCUGAAAACUCCGGUGGUACAGGAUGGGCCCGCGUCUGAUUAGCCAGUUGGCAGGGUAACGGCCUACCAAAGCGACGAUCAGUAGCCGGCCUGAGAGGGCGGACGGCCACACUGGGACUGAGACACGGCCCAGACUCCUACGGGAGGCAGCAGUGGGGGAUAUUGCACAAUGGGGGGAACCCUGAUGCAGCGACGCCGCGUGGGUGAAGAAGCGCCUCGGCGCGUAAAGCCCUGUCAGCAGGGAAGAAAAUGACGGUACCUGAAGAAGAAGCCCCGGCUAACUACGUGCCAGCAGCCGCGGUAAUACGUAGGGGGCAAGCGUUAUCCGGAUUUACUGGGUGUAAAGGGGGCGCAGACGGCGAUGCAAGCCAGGAGUGAAAGCCCGGGGCUCAACCCCGGGACUGCAUUUGGAACU
RNAcentral lists this ribosomal RNA (518 nucleotides) under uncultured bacterium. RNAcentral describes it as "bacterial SSU rRNA". It matches the Rfam family "Bacterial small subunit ribosomal RNA", at positions 97 to 634 of the family's 1533-position model. The record is from RNAcentral.